Molecule: ribosomal RNA, 120 nt
Filed under: Pogona vitticeps (central bearded dragon)
Lineage: Eukaryota; Metazoa; Chordata; Lepidosauria; Squamata; Agamidae
Source: RNAcentral
UAUCAUGACCAUGCCACCCAGCAUAUCCUGAUCUCCUUUGCUUUCAGAAGCUAAGUAUAUCCAGACCUCAUUAGUACCUGGAUGGGAGACCAGGAAGGAAUAGCCAGGAUUUCCUAGUAC